UGUCCCGGGCUAAGUGUGUAGGGUGAGACGUAGGCAAAUCCGCGUCUUGUAUGCCUGAGACAUGAUGGCUGGGUGGGAUACGUCCCACCGAGUGAGUGAUCCUAUGCUGCCUAGAAAAUCUUCGUGAGCGAGUUUACAAGCCGCCCGUACCCCAAACCGACUCAGGUGGUUGGGUAGAGAAUACCAAGGCGAUCGAGAUAAUCGUGGUGAAGGAACUCGGCAAAAUGCCCCCGUAACUUCGGAAUAAGGGGGGCCUGACGCGUGAUGAUAUUUACUGUUUGAGCGCGGAGGGCCGCAGAGACCACGGGAAAGCGACUGUUUACUAAAAACACAGGUCCGUGCCAAGUCGCAAGACGAUGUAUACGGACUGACUCCUGCCCGGUGCUGGAAGGUUAAGGGGAAGUGUUAGCUUCGGCGAAGCACUGAACUUAAGCCCCAGUAAACGGCGGUGGUAACUAUAACCAUCCUAAGGUAGCGAAAUUCCUCGGGUAAGUUCCGACCUGCACGAAUGGAGUAACGACUUUCCCACUGUCUCCACCACGAACUCGGCGAAAUUGCACUACGAGUAAAGAUGCUCGUUACGCGCAGCAGGACGGAAAGACCCCGGGACCUUUACUAUAGUUUGGUAUUGGUGAUUGGGACAGCUUGUGUAGGAUAGGUGGGAGACUGUGAAGCAUUCACGCCAGUGAGUGUGGAGUCAACGUUGAAAUACCACUCUGGUUGUUCUAGUUAUCUAACCUAGGUCCGUUAUCCGGAUCAGGGACAGUGCCUGAUGGGUAGUUUGACUGGGGCGGUCGCCUCCUAAAAGGUAACGGAGGCGCCCAAAGGUUCCCUCAGCCUGGUUGGCAAUCAGGUUUCGAGUGUAAGUGCACAAGGGAGCUUGACUGUGAGAGAGACAUCUCAAGCAGGGACGAAAGUCGGGACUAGUGAUCUGACGGUGGCAUGUGGAAGCGCCGUCACUCAACGGAUAAAAGGUACCCCGGGGAUAACAGGCUGAUCUUGCCCGAGCGUCCAUAGCGACGGCAUGGUUUGGCACCUCGAUGUCGGCUCGUCGCAUCCUGGGGCUGGAGUCGGUCCCAAGGGUUGGGCUGUUCGCCCAUUAAAGCGGCACGCGAGCUGGGUUUAGAACGUCGUGAGACAGUUCGGUCCCUAUCCGCUGCGCGCGUAGGAGUCUUGAGAAGAGCUGUCCUUAGUACGAGAGGACCGGGACGGACUAACCUCUGGUGUGCCAGUUGUCCUGCCAAGGGCACGGCUGGUUGGCUACGUUGGGAAGUGAUAACCGCUGAAAGCAUCUAAGCGGGAAGCACGCUUCAAGAUGAGGGCUCCCACACAUUUUGUGGUAAGGACCCCGGAAGACCACCGGGUGAUAGGUCGGAUGUGGAAGUACAGCAAUGUAUGGAGCUGACCGAUACUAAUAGUCCGAGGGCUUGUCU
RNAcentral lists this ribosomal RNA (1433 nucleotides) under metagenome. RNAcentral's name for it is "bacterial LSU rRNA". It matches the Rfam family "Bacterial large subunit ribosomal RNA", at positions 1503 to 2925 of the family's 2925-position model. The record is from RNAcentral.